AUGGAUCCUGAAGAUCUCAGUGACUCAGAGGAAGAAGAUGAUGAGAUGAUGCUACUCAUUUUGCCAGCUUUAUAUCUAGCUUCCGCCGGGUGCGAGGCAAAACGUGCACGAUAUCGCAGUGGCGCAGAAUGGAUAUGCGAAGUUCUUGAAGAUGACCGAGGUCACGGCUAUCCAAAACUUCGGAUUGAACCUCAUGUUCUCCGUGAAUUUUCACAGUAUGUCAGGUCAAAACAUCUCCUGCGGAAUACAAGAGGUGUUUCUGUGGAAGAGCAGAUCGGCAUGUUUGUGUACAUGCUCUCACGAAAUGCUAACUUUGACCAACUAAGUGAUAGAUUUGAGCGCAGCAGAGAGACUAUCCAUAGACAUAUCAAGGCAUGCUUUGAUGCGAUCGUCUCACUGAAAGGUGACUUUGUGAAGCAUCCUGGAACUAAAACUCAUUGGAAAAUAUUAUCUGAUCCGCAUUACGGGCCAUACUUUGAGAACUGUAUAGGAGCAAUCGAUGGAAUUCAUGUCCCAUUGACAAUAUCAGAUAGGGAAGCGGCUCCAUAUCGAAAUAGAGAAGGAUCCAUUACUCAAAAUGUGAUGCUUGCUUGUGAUUUUGAUCUCAAUUUUGUCCAUGUGUCCUCUGGCUGGGAAGGCUCUGCACCUGAUGCAGAGGUCUUGCAUUCUGCUAUAGAAUCUGGAUUUCAAGUUCCAAGAGGCAAGUAUUAUUUGGUAGAUGGGGGUUAUCCGAACACUCCUUCCUUUCUUGCUCCUUAUAGCGGGGUGCCUUACCAUAUUGAAGAGCAGGAGCAGAGAAGUUGCCGUGCAAGAAACUACAAGGAGUUGUUCAACCUUCGACAUGCACAACUGUAUGGCCAUAUAAAAAAUGCUAUAGGUCUAUUAAAGAUGAGAUUUCCAGUUUUGAAGGUUGCGACAUCUUACCGCUUAGAGACUCAACUGAAAAUUCCAGCAGCAGCAGUGGUGUUGCAUAACAUAAUUCAGAGGCAAGGAGACGCUGAAGGAUCUUCAGUUAACCAAACAAUCCCAAUCGUUACCCGUGAAGGUGGGGAUGCCGCACAUGGCCAUGAUGUUUCAGCACUGAACAAUCAGUGUGACACGGGCGAUGCUUUAAGAGACGAUAUUGCAAAGAGGAUGUGGGAAGAUUACAUAAUAAAUAUGUGA
This 1164-nucleotide ribosomal RNA is filed under the name Triticum aestivum (bread wheat). Its description in RNAcentral is "partial small subunit ribosomal RNA". The record is from RNAcentral. Lineage: Eukaryota; Viridiplantae; Streptophyta; Magnoliopsida; Poales; Poaceae.